Molecule: long non-coding RNA, 709 nt
Organism: Syzygium oleosum
Lineage: Eukaryota; Viridiplantae; Streptophyta; Magnoliopsida; Myrtales; Myrtaceae
Exons: 3
Source: RefSeq, a predicted model, not a curated record
AGUUUUGGAACUUCUCAGAAUUUGGAGGAGUCAACAGCUAAAGUAUGUAAUCUACUAUCUAACAAAGACGUAGCAACUCCUUCACAAUGUACCAGAAAACCUUAUUAUGACUAUUUGGUCUGAGCAAGCUCAGGACAAUAUAUCUUAGCAUCUUGAAAAUUAUUUUCUAGGAAGCUCUGGCUUCGGUUGGCAGUAUGUACUUCGAAAGAUGAAAUGAGAAUGUCCUCAGGGUAUUUAGUAGUGGGGGAAAAGAAAAAUCAUAGAAAAAACCCACUUUGGAAAUGUAAGGCAAGGUUUGUAUGUUUUGAUGUCUGGUGUAUCCGAAGUUCCAGCAUUUAUUUUCGAUGGCUUGAAACAUAGACUUAGUAUGUAUAUGGUCGAUCAUGCCCCCAAGGAGACCCAAUACACACACACACAUCUAAGAAAAAAUCUACAGUCCUCUUCCCAUAACUAUUUAUCACUUCAUUUUUAGGAUUUUUAAAUAAAAACUUAGUUCAUUGAGUGUAACAAAUGGAUCGAUGAAACUUUAGCUGUAUUAUGGCUUACCAAUAAUUUCUUUUCUUUUUGUGUCAAAUCGAAUUUCCAAUGUAAUGCACAAAUGCUGUGCAUCAACAGUCAGGAGAACUGUGUAAUCUAGUUGCAGUAUUGAUGAUGCAUUGUGAUUACCCCAUCCCCCACCAGAAAAGGAAAGAAGAAGAAGUAGAGUCAC